This 429-nucleotide ribosomal RNA is filed under the name Pseudomonadota bacterium. RNAcentral's name for it is "Proteobacteria bacterium partial 16S ribosomal RNA". It matches the Rfam family "Bacterial small subunit ribosomal RNA", at positions 355 to 776 of the family's 1533-position model. Lineage: Bacteria; Pseudomonadati; Pseudomonadota. The record is from RNAcentral.
UGGGGAAUAUUGGACAAUGGGCGAAAGCCUGAUCCAGCCAUGCCGCGUGUGUGAAGAAGGUCUUCGGAUUGUAAAGCACUUUAAGUUGGGAGGAAGGGCAGUAAGCGAAUACCUUGCUGUUUUGACGUUACCGACAGAAUAAGCACCGGCUAACUCUGUGCCAGCAGCCGCGGUAAUACAGAGGGUGCAAGCGUUAAUCGGAAUUACUGGGCGUAAAGCGCGCGUAGGUGGUUCGUUAAGUUGAAUGUGAAAGCCCCGGGCUCAACCUGGGAACUGCAUCCAAAACUGGCGAGCUAGAGUAGGGCAGAGGGUGGUGGAAUUUACUGUGUAGCGGUGAAAUGCGUAGAUAUAGGAAGGAACACAAGUGGCGAAGGCGACCACCUGGGCUCAUACUGACACUGAGGUGCGAAAGCGUGGGGAGCAAACAGG